This 485-nucleotide ribosomal RNA is filed under the name uncultured bacterium. Its description in RNAcentral is "partial 16S ribosomal RNA". It matches the Rfam family "Bacterial small subunit ribosomal RNA", at positions 30 to 508 of the family's 1533-position model. The record is from RNAcentral.
AUUGAACGCUGGCCGCAGGCCUAACACAUGCAAGUCGAGCGGAUGAAGGGAGCUUGCUCCUGGAUUCAGCGGCGGACGGGUGAGUAAUGCCUAGGAAUCUGCCUGGUAGUGGGGGAUAACGUCCGGAAACGGGCGCUAAUACCGCAUACGUCCUGAGGGAGAAAGUGGGGGAUCUUCGGACCUCACGCUAUCAGAUGAGCCUAGGUCGGAUUAGCUAGUUGGUGGGGUAAAGGCCUACCAAGGCGACGAUCCGUAACUGGUCUGAGAGGAUGAUCAGUCACACUGGAACUGAGACACGGUCCAGACUCCUACGGGAGGCAGCAGUGGGGAAUAUUGGACAAUGGGCGAAAGCCUGAUCCAGCCAUGCCGCGGGUGUGAAGAAGGUCUUCGGAUUGUAAAGCACUUUAAGUUGGGAGGAAGGGCAGUAAGUUAAUACCGUGCUGUUUUGACGUUACCAACAGAAUAAGCGCCGGCUAACUUCGUGC